CCUACGGGUGGCAGCAGUGGGGAAUAUUGGACAAUGGGGGGAACCCUGAUCCAGCCAUGCCGCGUGUGUGAAGAAGGCCCUCGGGUUGUAAAGCACUUUCAGUGAGGAAGAACGCCUGGUGGUUAAUACCCAUCAGGAAAGACAUCACUCACAGAAGAAGCACCGGCUAACUCCGUGCCAGCAGCCGCGGUAAUACGGAGGGUGCGAGCGUUAAUCGGAAUUACUGGGCGUAAAGCGCGCGUAGGUGGCUUGAUAAGCCGGUUGUGAAAGCCCCGGGCUCAACCUGGGAACGGCAUCCGGAACUGUCGAGCUAGAGUGCAGGAGAGGAAGGUAGAAUUCCCGGUGUAGCGGUGAAAUGCGUAGAGAUCGGGAGGAAUACCAGUGGCGAAGGCGGCCUUCUGGACUGACACUGACACUGAGGUGCGAAAGCGUGGGUAGCAAACAGGAUUAGAUACCCUUGUAGUC
RNAcentral lists this ribosomal RNA (465 nucleotides) under Vreelandella stevensii. RNAcentral describes it as "partial 16S ribosomal RNA". It matches the Rfam family "Bacterial small subunit ribosomal RNA", at positions 338 to 795 of the family's 1533-position model. The record is from RNAcentral. Lineage: Bacteria; Pseudomonadati; Pseudomonadota; Gammaproteobacteria; Oceanospirillales; Halomonadaceae.